RNAcentral lists this ribosomal RNA (442 nucleotides) under uncultured Methanolinea sp. Its description in RNAcentral is "bacterial SSU rRNA". It matches the Rfam family "Archaeal small subunit ribosomal RNA", at positions 57 to 508 of the family's 1478-position model. Lineage: Archaea; Methanobacteriati; Methanobacteriota; Methanomicrobia; Methanomicrobiales; Methanoregulaceae. The record is from RNAcentral.
GUCGAGAGGUGCAAGACUCGGCGCACUGUUCAGUAACACGUGGAUAACCUACCCUCAGGAGGGGGAUAACCCCGGGAAACUGGGGAUAAUACCCCAUAGAUCAGGGACGCUGGAAUGCCCCCUGAUCUAAAGGUCCGCCGCCUGAGGAUGGGUCUGCGGCCGAUUAGGUUGUUGUUGGGGUAACGGCCCAACAAGCCAUUGAUCGGUACGGGUUGUGAGAGCAAGAGCCCGGAGAUGGAUUCUGAGACACGAAUCCAGGCCCUACGGGGCGCAGCAGGCGCGAAAACUUUACAAUGCGAGAAAUCGUGAUAAGGGAACCCCGAGUGCCCGUAAAUUCGGGCUGUCCAUCAGUGUAAAUAACUGGUGAAGAAAGGGCCGGGCAAGACCGGUGCCAGCCGCCGCGGUAAUACCGGCGGCUCGAGUGGUGGCCACUAUUACUGGG